This 638-nucleotide ribosomal RNA is filed under the name uncultured bacterium. Its description in RNAcentral is "bacterial SSU rRNA". It matches the Rfam family "Bacterial small subunit ribosomal RNA", at positions 112 to 737 of the family's 1533-position model. The record is from RNAcentral.
AACACGUGGGCAACCUGCCCAAAAGAGGGGGAUAACACUUGGAAACAGGUGCUAAUACCGCAUAACCAUAGUUACCGCAUGGUAACUAUGUAAAAGGUGGCUAUGCUACCGCUUUUGGAUGGGCCCGCGGCGCAUUAGCUAGUUGGUGGGGUAAAGGCUUACCAAGGCAAUGAUGCGUAGCCGAACUGAGAGGUUGAUCGGCCACAUUGGGACUGAGACACGGCCCAAACUCCUACGGGAGGCAGCAGUAGGGAAUCUUCCACAAUGGGCGAAAGCCUGAUGGAGCAACGCCGCGUGGGUGAAGAAGGUCUUCGGAUCGUAAAACCCUGUUGUUAGAGAAGAAAGUGCGUGAGAGUAACUGUUCACGUUUCGACGGUAUCUAACCAGAAAGCCACGGCUAACUACGUGCCAGCAGCCGCGGUAAUACGUAGGUGGCAAGCGUUAUCCGGAUUUAUUGGGCGUAAAGGGAACGCAGGCGGUCUUUUAAGUCUGAUGUGAAAGCCUUCGGCUUAACCGGAGUAGUGCAUUGGAAACUGGGAGACUUGAGUGCAGAAGAGGAGAGUGGAACUCCAUGUGUAGCGGUGAAAUGCGUAUAUAUAUGGAAGAACACCAGUGGCGAAAGCGGCUCUCUGGUCUGU